Molecule: long non-coding RNA, 645 nt
Organism: Sapajus apella (tufted capuchin)
Lineage: Eukaryota; Metazoa; Chordata; Mammalia; Primates; Cebidae
Exons: 2
Source: RefSeq, a predicted model, not a curated record
AACUUAAAGAUGAGCCAAAGGGUUGUUUGACUGCCCUUUAGUUCUCUGGUCUCCAUGACUCAACGUUUAGACGUCAGUACACAAGUUCAGCCAAAUGCUUGUGAAAUUUCUUCUGAACUCAUCCGAGGAGACUUGACCCUCCCGACUUGAGGAUUCUGACUGCUUUGCCUGACAGCAGACAAACUCUGCCUCAGGGUCUGUGAGUGGAAGGGGGAUGGGUGGGACCUCCUGCAGCCUCUCUGGGGCAGACACGAUGAGCAGUAGUGACUUCCUGGGGCAGGUACUGAAACUGUGCCAAGGAAUAACAAAAUGGCAGGAACCAGUUGGAACCAAUAUGGCCAACUGGAGUUUCUGCAGAAGGAGCUUGCUGGUGUCACGGCCCGGAUUUCCACGUGUUUCAUGCUAGCUGCCCUGGAAUUUAAUUAGCACACGGGACCCAAGAGGAGGCAGGAAGAGAUAACUGCACAUGUCUGAGGACUUUCCAGAGCUCCCCUUUCCUUCCACUAGUCUCCUGCAAAUCCUGGAACCCACCCUCUAACCCUUUUCUAAUAAAUGAUUUCCUUAAAGGCAGCACAGAGAGACAGAUUGGAGCUGGACUCCUGUGUCCUUGUUGGUCAACUUGCAAAGAAAGCUUUUCUUUUCUCU